Molecule: ribosomal RNA, 497 nt
Filed under: uncultured bacterium
Lineage: Bacteria
Description: partial 16S ribosomal RNA
Rfam family: Bacterial small subunit ribosomal RNA
Source: RNAcentral
GAUGAACGCUGGCGGCGUGCCUAAUACAUGCAAGUCGAGCGAACAGAUGAGGAGCUUGCUCCUCUGACGUUAGCGGCGGACGGGUGAGUAACACGUGGAUAACCUACCUAUAAGACUGGGAUAACUUCGGGAAACCGGAGCUAAUACCGGAUAAUAUAUUGAACCGCAUGGUUCAAUAGUGAAAGACGGUUUUGCUGUCAAUUAUAGAUGGAUCCGCGCCGCAUUAGCUAGUUGGUAAGGUAACGGCUUACCAAGGCGACGAUGCGUAGCCGACCUGAGAGGGUGAUCGGCCACACUGGAACUGAGACACGGUCCAGACUCCUACGGGAGGCAGCAGUAGGGAAUCUUCCGCAAAGGGCGAAAGCCUGACGGAGCAACGCCGCGUGAGUGAUGAAGGUCUUCGGAUCGUAAAACUCUGUUAUUAGGGAAGAACAAAUGUGUAAGUAACUAUGCACGUCUUGACGGUACCUAAUCAGAAAGCCACGGCUAACUACGUG